UCGUCAUCUCGCACUCAGGGAAGGGAAAAUAGGAAAACUGUCGGGGAGGAAGAGCAGUGAGCAAGCCGAAGAACAUACCUAUUAUCUAUUCUAGGUUGGUCCUAAAAGGGUACACAGUCAAUGGCGGCUUAGCUAUUCACUUUCAGCGUUAGUUUACCCAUGUUUAUGUAAUCUAGGUAAAGCUAUUUGGUGAAUAGUGGAGAUUCGACUUUGCUACUCGGUCGUGCAGUGGGGCAAGAACGCCCAGAAUUGGAAUUGCAACUGCAACGACUUGCUACCGCAGCAGUUGGAAAUUUGAGUCUGUUUCGAUAGGCCUGGAUCCCUGUUCAAACAACGUCUGGGGACUUGCAUGAAAACAACAAAAGAACCACCCGAAAUUGUGUGAAUGGAGCAGUGUGAGAGUGCAGCCUCUCUCCUGGCCUCCGUGCGGGAGCAGGAGCAUCAGUUUGAGCGUCUGACUCGCGCUCUGGAGGAAGAGAGGAGGUGCGGAGGUACCCUCCCACGCCCUCCCCCCAAUCUACAGAAUGGGCGUGUUUGUGAUGCGGACAUAGAGAGGCUCACACUGAACGAGGGAUACGUCAACGGGACACAUUACAGGAUGGAGCCUGGUCAAGUCGUCCAGGAGACGGUUACCGUGGAGGAGGACCCUCACGAGGUGCCCCCCGUCAUCUCCGUGGAAACCAGCGAAGAUGGCACCACGCGCCGCACAGAAACUACGGUAAAGAAGGUAGUGAAGACUACCAUGACUCGUACAGUCAUCCCCUCUGUGUCUGACAACCUCUCCCUGGAUGGAGGGGGGUCUAUGACAGGUGUAGGGGGUUACACCACCCCCAUGGAGCGGGUCUACAGACAGCCUGGUCCUCCCAUGGACUACCCCACCAACACCGUGCCCCGAAACUACCACUCACGGACCCCCGGGGGGGUACGAGGACUACCGCCAGGGCUCUCCCUCCAUAGGGGAGACCUACGCCAGCCUGAGCAGGGGAGCACGCAUGGACGACCGCUACAGGCCAGCUGAUGUGUACCGGACCCUGGACUCAGGAUACAGAGCCAUCAGCAGGAACCAGCUGGACCCAUACGCAGCACAGCCACAGGUGGGUCGUAUGGGCAGUGCGUUGGAGCUGUCUGGGAUGCAGAGGUUUGUCCCGGAGCCGUACGGUCUGGAGGAUGACCAGAGGAGUGUGGGAUAUGACGAGGCAGACUAUGGCAUGGGACCGGCCAUCCACUACGGAACAGUACCACGCAACCAACAAGCCUUCAACCAUGGACCGCCCCGCAGGACAGGGAGCUAUGAAGGGACUCUGGAUGGAGACAUGAGUGGAGCAGGGGACAUGUACUACUGGGGAGGUGCACCCCUGGCCCAGGGAGAGAGGGGUAGCAUGGCCUCAUUGGACAGCACCCUGAGGAAAGGCCCUGCCACUUCCUGGAGACAGCCUGAGCUGCCAGAGGUCAUCGCCAUGCUCAACUACAGACUGGACCCCGUCAAGAGCAACGCUGCUGCAUACCUGCAGCACCUCACCUUUAAGAACGACAAGGUGAAGACAGAUGUCCGUCGUAUGAAAGGUAUCCCAUCCCUGGUGUCCAUGUUAGACAACCCUAAGAAGGAGGUCCACCACGCCGCCUGCGGAGCGCUCAAAAACAUCUCUUACGGACGAGACCCUGACAAUAAGAUCGCCAUCAAGAACUGUGAUGGAGUACCGGCCCUGGUCCGACUGCUGAGGAAGACCAGAGACCAGGACCUGACCGAUACUAUCACAGGCACGCUGUGGAACUUGUCAUCUCACGACUCAGUGAAGAUGGAGAUCGUUGACCACGCCCUGCACGCCCUCUCAGACGAGGUGAUGGUAGCUCACUCGGGCUGGGAGAGAGCGAACGAGGCAGGAGGAGAGGAGAACCUCAAACCACGACACCUGGAGUGGGAGACGUCCCCUCACCAACACCGCUGGCUGCCUGAGGAACGUGAGCUCAGAGCGCAGUGAGGCCAGGAGGAAGCUGAGAGAGUGCACAGGAUUGGUCGACUCGCUCAUGUACAUUGUCCAAUCACAGAUCAACCUGAAAGACGUGGACAACAAGCUGAUAGAGAACAGUAUGUGUCUGCUGAGGAAUCUGUCCUAUCAGGUUCACCGGGAGGUGCCGGGCGCUGAGCGCUACCAGGAAGCCAUGUCCCUCAACCAGGGCCCCGCCCCCUCCACUGGAAAGACCAACCGCUUCAGCUCCCGCAGGGGCAAAGGGAGAAAUGAGGACGGAGCAGAUAUGAUUGACAUUCCAAAGAGGACUACACCUGCCAAAGGUUAUGAGUUGUUGUUCCAGCCGGAGGUGGUGCGUGUCUACACCUCUCUGCUGAAGGAGAGUAAGAACCCCACCGUGCUGGAAGCCUCCGCCGGAGCUGUGCAGAACCUGUGUGCCGGACGCUGGACCUAUGGGCGGUAUAUCCGUGCAUUGUUGCGUCAGGAGAAGGGUCUUCCCAUGAUGACAGAGCUGUUGGCCCAUGGUAACGACCGGGUGGUCAGGGCCAUGUCUGGAGCUCUGAGGAACCUGGCUAUCGACGCUCGCAACAGAGACCUGCUCGGUAAACAUGCAGUUCCACACCUGGUAUCCAACCUGCCUGGUGGGGGUCAGAGCCAGCCUGUGAGGGCUCUGUCAGAGGAGACGGUGGUGUCUGUACUGAGCACCCUUCAUGAGGUUCUGGGCUCCAGCCUGGACGCUGCCAAGAUCCUCAGAGCCUCGCAGGGCAUCGAGAGACUGGUGCUCAUCAAUAAGGACGGGAACCGGUCAGAGCGAGAGGUGCGUGGUGCAGGGCUGAUACUCCAGUUAGUUUGGGGCUAUAAGGAGUUGAGGAAGACCCUGGAGAAGGAUGGCUGGAAGAAGACUGACUUCAUGGUGAACCUCAACCCUCCCAACAGCACCCAGCCCCGGGUCAACGGAGGAUAUGAAGACAGUACGCUGCCGCUCAUAGACAGGGGAGGAGACAAGAGAGACAUGAUUCCACUAAAUGAUAUGGGACCAGAUGCCUACUCCACACUGGACCAGAGGGGGAGGAAGAACACUCUGGAUGGAACACUCGAGCCUGCUGACAAAGACACAGCACAGGGAGGGCUGUAUGAGGAGAGGCGGGACUCUGUUCCUCUCAUGGACUCUUAUGACGAGAAACUGAUAGUGUGCAUCACUAGAAGAGAGCAGCCUCUACCGGCCUACUGCCCCUGCUGAACCUCUGGACACUCACUGAGGGACCACUGACUCCACUAGGACUGGACUCGCUCUCCUUCUGUCUCUCUCUUUUCUUUCUCUUUUUCCUCUCUCUAUCUUUCGAUUUCUUAAUCUUCUUUCCCUCUUAUCUCUCGGGUUCUGUGACAUAAGCCACUUGCAUGACCUUCAGCCUUCCUCACCUCACUAUCUCUCCCUCCCUAGCUCUCCCUCAUUCCUCUAUUCAGACAGACUUUUAGCCACUAAAGGAACACUAUGGACUCCUGACAUCCCUCUUCUACCUGUCCACACUACUAUGACUGACAUCCUCCUGACAUCCCUCUUCUACCUGUCCACACUACUAUGACAUAAACCACUUCUAAUUUACUAACUCCUCCCACCACAAUAGGGACAGUUGUGACUUCAUCUGGGAACUGGGAACGUUCACCACCACAGUAGCAAAGCUAAUCAAAAGGGAACUGUUGGAAUGGGAUUCAAACUGUAACUGAACUUAAACUGACAAACCCCCUUUUUUACUGGAAUGGUUAAAACUGCAUUUCUAGAAGUGAUUGUGAAGAUUUCCGGUCAAUGUUUUUUUUUUUUCUUGUGAUAACUAAUUACCACUUAACUUCUGUUUCCCAACAAAGAAUCAAUGUUUGUUGAUCUACUGCCGGUGUUGCUUUGGUCUUUGUUUGAAGUGUGAUUGCUGAGUUGUGGUUCUGACUACACUGAUGAACAGGUGCCAAACUACACACCACUAUUGCAGUAACUUUCUACUACAGAGUCUUUCUGAACACUACUUCUCUUCUCAGAGCCAUCUGUUGUGAUGUUAUAGUGUAUAUGACAUCAUUGGGUGAUGUCAGACAGGCACUGGUGUGCCAUUGGGCAGUGUUGUGGCAAAGGAUUGUGGGAAAGUAAGUAGGUUGACGACCACUUUAACAUUUUACACAUGGGUCUUGCGUCACAGAACAUUGUUGAUAGUCUGUUCUGCAGAGUAUAUUUCUAUGAUUUUCAGCCGUGUAUAAUAGACCAGUGAACCGUUUUGGCUCUAUUCAAUACAUUUCUAUCUGUGUGGCUCUUUAGCGUCAUUGUUAUACCCCCUUUCUCAACUCCCUCUGGUUCUAAUGGUUCUCCUGAAGCUAUGGGAGAAACCACAGAUUUGAUUGUUGAUCCAGUGACUGCAUUUCUUUCAAUCUGCAAAUCUCUAUAUAUAUAUGAAUGUGUAAAUAUGUGAUCGCCUUCAACUACGUCUGUGUGGCUUAUGGCUAACUGGAGUGCCUCGUUCGUUGAUUGGUGUUUUUAAGGUGGGAUGGGGGUUUGCCCUGGGGAUAUCAUUCACUAGCAGCAACAUUCCAGAACAUUGCAUCCAAAUGGAAUGUUUAGAACAGUUUUAUUUUUUUGUGUUCCGCAUAAUAACACAAUGGAAUGUAUAGAGUUGAUAUGAUUGAUGCUCUGCAUAUGGAACAGAGAGAACCAUUCUAGUGCCAUACAUUCCUCAUCAGACUGGCGUGUUCCAGCCUACUGAACCUACGCCUGGGUGUCCAUCUACCCUGCUGGCCUGGCUGGUGUCCAUGGAGACCACAGAACACUAAGAGGGGAGAGGACACAUUUACCUGGUUGUUUUCCCCCAGACAGAGUUCCUUUAGUACCGUAGACAGCAUUAUUAUUCUCAGUGCAGAGUAAGAUGUAGAUAUUUUCUGAGUAGAUUAAAGCACUAGGGGUAAAAGCGGUUCUUGGUUCCUUUGAUUAUUUUCAUGCCAAUCCAACACUACAAAUGGUCAGUCUCAGAAAAAUGUAAAUAGUUGUCUUGUAACCAGAUAUAGACCUAGAACUGAUACAGGAAAUUAUGUGGGAGUGGAAUCCAAUGGGAAUGUGGGACUAAAGAGGGGCGGAGCAUAAAAUUAAAUUAGCAAGAUUUGAAUGAGUGCAAAGACCAGAUUGAUUCUAGUUGCUAUUUUAAAAAAUAAUUGAAAAAAAAAGCAAAUGUAACUAUAUACAAGAUAAAUAUUUGUUAAUUGUAAUGGUUUUAUGUAUUUUUCUUUUUAUAUUUUAUGAUUUGGGUUUAUUCGUCUUGCAGGUAUUGUGGGUGAACACAUAUGCAAUCGGUUUAUUUUUUAAUUGAGAAACAUUUAUGGUUUAUAUAUUUUAAGUAAAGUUAAAACAAGCAAAACACAAUGUAAAAUCAAUAUUACGUUCCAGAUGGUCCCCUAUUCCCAAUAUAGUACACUACUAAAUGGCCUGAUAUGGCUAUGGGUGAAAGUAGUUAACUAUAUAGGGGAUAGGGGGCCAUUUAGGAGACAGUCCAACUCUCAAUUUCUGUCAUCAGUUUAUUAUUGGAACGCUGAUCUAAAAUGUGAUUCUGGGUGAAAACCUUAAUCUCUAAUUCUAUGCCUUGGCUCUUAAUGUUGCACAUUUCUCUCAUGAAUGGAAUAUGUAACAAGCAAUACGGUUUAUAAUUAAAAAGUGCUUUUUUCAA
Molecule: non-coding RNA, 5659 nt
Organism: Salmo salar (Atlantic salmon)
Lineage: Eukaryota; Metazoa; Chordata; Actinopteri; Salmoniformes; Salmonidae
Source: RefSeq, a predicted model, not a curated record